GGCGUAGGCGGCCUGUCAAGUCGGAUGUGAAAUCUCCCGGCUUAACUGGGAGGGUGCAUUCGAAACUGAUGGGCUAGAGUGCAGCAGAGGGAGGUGGAAUUCCCGGUGUAGUGGUGAAAUGCGUAGAUAUCGGGAAGAACACUAGUGGCGAAGGCGGCCUCCUGGGCUGUAACUGACGCUGAGGUCCGAAGGCGUGGGGAGCAAACAGGAUUAGAUACCCUGGUAGUCCACGCAGUAAACGAUGGAUACUAGGUAUGGGGAGUAUCGACCCUCUCUGUGCCGAAGCUAACGCUUUAAGUAUCCCGCCUGGGGAGUACGGUCGCGAGACUAAA
This 332-nucleotide ribosomal RNA is filed under the name uncultured bacterium. Its description in RNAcentral is "bacterial SSU rRNA". It matches the Rfam family "Bacterial small subunit ribosomal RNA", at positions 568 to 898 of the family's 1533-position model. The record is from RNAcentral.